AUUAUUUAUGGACGUACGAAGUUUUCGGCGAUCUCGAUGAUGCAUGAUUAGCGGGCAGCAGCAAAAUUACAAAUUUACUAUAACCAUGCGGAUAUUUCGAGCCAGCUGUAAAUGCAAGCAGACAGGCUGCUUCGUUUGUGAUGGCGAAACGAAAGGAGACAGAAAGAGAGGAAAGAUAUAAUAUACGACAGAAUUAUGGAGGUCAGAUUGAAGAAAGAAAAACGAGGGUCAGUGAGGACUUCUGAGAAUUCUUCAUCUUCUCCUCAUGAAAUCGUUUUUUCGAUAAAUCCAAAGAAUGUGAAAAAGCGCGGACAAUGGCCGAUCGAUAGGACUGCUCGGAGACAGGAUGCAGGAAAUGAAGCAAACAAUCAUUGAGAACAAUCACGGUAUUCCACAGUGUCCCGUGGAAGAAAGACACCGAUGAAAAUACCUUCGACAAUGGGAUAAAGAAAGAACAGAAGGAAAACAAAAGUCAAAAGGAAAAUAUCUUUAGUCGAUUAAUUUAAUAUCUCCCAUAUGAGUCUCAUUUUCGUAGAGUUAAAUUCUAAUCAGGUCUACUUGCAUCUAAUUAAUUUAUCGCGUACUUUCGCACGCUGAUUUUUAUUAAUAUCGAAUUACCUGAAGAAUAAAAAAUUUGCCGAGAUUUACUUAAAAAUGAAUUUUAAAUCGCAACAAUAGAAAUCCCCAGAAAUCUUCGCUCCAGAUUACCGCACGUUCCGAUUUAUGAAGUUUCCUACUGUUUCGACCCGAUAUUUCCAAAUAAACAACAAUGGACGUUCGUGAACUGUUUUAUGUCAACUAAUUAACUAUAACUUAUAUAUUAUGUAUCGUCUACACGUAUGGCGUUUAUUAUAUAAAUCUGUAUCAACUAACGAAUAAAUAAAUAAACGUGUGUGCUUAUCUGAUAUUAUAACACAGCCAUAUCUAUUGGGUUGGCAACUAAGUAAUUGCGGACUUUGUCAAUACCACCUAAUGACAAAAUCCGCAAUCACUUAGUUGCCAAUCCAAUAAUUCCACUAUGUCGAACACUAUAAUUUAUAUUGAAUAAAAAGUAGCUUUUUACGUCCAUGGAACUUUUACAAUAAAGGACACUAUACACGUGUGCAACGAAGAAGCAGACAAACAAAUAUCUCUACCGACCACGUCUAGUUUUUCGGAAUUUCGGAAAUGAAACAUAAUACGCGCGCGAAGAUAACCAGUCAACUGAUACGAUCUCUUCGAAAAGCGUGUACCGAAACUAUGUGGCAAAAAAUAAACGACGACAAGUAUACUCGUCAGACUGGGAGUACGAGUGGCUGUU
Molecule: unclassified non-coding RNA, 1300 nt
Filed under: Bombus terrestris (buff-tailed bumblebee)
Lineage: Eukaryota; Metazoa; Arthropoda; Insecta; Hymenoptera; Apidae
Description: misc RNA ENSBTSG00005020510.1
Source: RNAcentral